GCCUCCGUGGUGUAAUGGUAGCACACUCGGUGCAUAUUCGAGAGGUCAAGAGUUCGAGUCCCGGCGAGGGCG
Molecule: transfer RNA, 72 nt
Filed under: Stegodyphus mimosarum
Lineage: Eukaryota; Metazoa; Arthropoda; Arachnida; Araneae; Eresidae
Rfam family: tRNA
About the family: Transfer RNA (tRNA) molecules are approximately 80 nucleotides in length. Their secondary structure includes four short double-helical elements and three loops (D, anti-codon, and T loops). Further hydrogen bonds mediate the characteristic L-shaped molecular structure. tRNAs have two regions of fundamental functional importance: the anti-codon, which is responsible for specific mRNA codon recognition, and the 3' end, to which the tRNAs corresponding amino acid is attached (by aminoacyl-tRNA synthetases). tRNAs cope with the degeneracy of the genetic code in two manners: having more than one tRNA (with a specific anti-codon) for a particular amino acid; and 'wobble' base-pairing, i.e. permitting non-standard base-pairing at the 3rd anti-codon position.
Source: Rfam by way of RNAcentral